UCACUCAUUUGUAUGUUAAGA
RNAcentral lists this non-coding RNA (21 nucleotides) under Caenorhabditis elegans. Lineage: Eukaryota; Metazoa; Nematoda; Chromadorea; Rhabditida; Rhabditidae. The record is from RNAcentral.